AGAGUUUGAUCCUGGCUCAGAACGAACGCUGGCGGCAGGCCUAACACAUGCAAGUCGAACGCCUCGCAAGGGGCGUGGCAGACGGGUGAGUAACGCGUGGGAACGUACCCUCGGUUCGGAAUAACCCAGGGAAACUUGGGAUAAUACCGGAUACGUCCGCAAGGAGAAAGAUUUAUCGCCGAAGGAUCGGCCCGCGUUGGAUUAGCUAGUUGGCGGGGUAAUGGCCCACCAAGGCGACGAUCCAUAGCUGGUCUGAGAGGAUGAUCAGCCACACUGGGACUGAGACACGGCCCAGACUCCUACGGGAGGCAGCAGUGGGGAAUAUUGGACAAUGGGCGAAAGCCUGAUCCAGCCAUGCCGCGUGAGUGAUGAAGGCCUUAGGGUUGUAAAGCUCUUUCAGCGGGGAAGAUAAUGACGGUACCCGCAGAAGAAGCCCCGGCUAACUUCGUG
Molecule: ribosomal RNA, 450 nt
Filed under: uncultured Hyphomicrobiales bacterium
Lineage: Bacteria; Pseudomonadati; Pseudomonadota; Alphaproteobacteria; Hyphomicrobiales
Description: bacterial SSU rRNA
Rfam family: Bacterial small subunit ribosomal RNA
Source: RNAcentral